This 350-nucleotide unclassified non-coding RNA is filed under the name soil metagenome. RNAcentral describes it as "partial contains 5.8S ribosomal RNA, internal transcribed spacer 2, and large subunit ribosomal RNA". The stretch from base 4 to 121 matches the Rfam family "5.8S ribosomal RNA", at positions 37 to 154 of the family's 154-position model. The record is from RNAcentral.
GAUUGAAGAACGCAGCGAAAUGCGAAAAGUAAUGUGAAUUGCAGAAUUCAGUGAAUCAUCGAAUCUUUGAACGCACAUUGCGCCCGCCAGUAUUCUGGCGGGCAUGCCUGUCUGAGCGUCAUUUCAACCCUCACGCCCCUAGGGCGUGGUGUUGGGGAUCGGCCAGCGCCCUAGCGGGCGAGGCCGUCCCCUAAAUCUAGUGGCGGACCCGUCGUGGCCUCCCCUGCGAAGUAGUGAUAUUCCGCAUAGGAGAGCGACGAGCCCCUGCCGUUAAACCCCCAACUUUCUCAGGUUGACCUCAGAUCAGGUAGGAAUACCCGCUGAACUUAAGCAUAUCAAUAAGCGGAGGA